AUGUAUCUUUGUUGCUGAUGAUGUCACUCACAGACCAGUGGUUAGGCAUUCACCUGGAACACGGGAGAUGGCGCUUCCCAAAAUCCUGCUCUGAACCAAGCAGAAGGAGGCCUCGAACCCUCAUGUCCCUGUAUUGAGAUGAAUGUCAUCAUUACGAAGACAUGGUGGGAAUGCUGCAUCUACUCUCCCAGUGUUUUGUGCUGAACCAAGUCGUCUGGGCUAAGCAAGAGACCAGAAGGUAUGAAGGACGCAGCGGGAAGCCCUCUUUUGCUCACCAGUUAUCACAGCAGGACUUAAUGCUGCUACUGCAGUUUCAUGAGGCAGAGCUAAUUGCAGUAGGGAUCCUACGACGACGAUGUCUUGCAGGAAUGGAGGCAAUAAGCUCCAUAUGAGAAGGUGGUCUCCUGCCUUUAGACCUUGGGAGUAGUGUCUUCAGGUUCUCAUCUGUGGUUUUACCAACUCAAUGGGCCCCGCUACCUUUUAUGUGGCGCUCAGGGUACAGAGCUGCGUACCCGGUACACAUCGGUAGCUCCAGUCCUCAUUGAUCCUUGUGAUGGCAACAUCAAGUCCUUCAGAAUCUGAUGGAUUUAUCCCGAUGCCACCUCACAGCCCUGCAACCCCUAUUUGCACGCAGGGAAGCGAACUGCUGAGCUGAGAGGACAGAUCUGAGAUUUCUCUGGGCUUCUGGGAUAGAGUGGCUGGUUAAACUCAAGUCUCCUAAAUCUCUUGCUUGAACCUAAUCAGUUUUUUGGGAACAUAAACAUUUUGCAUGUUAAUGAAGUGCUGUUUGGUAAUGGAUGACACCUACAAAUAUGGGGUUUGAGCACAGGAGUAACUCAGUGGGCUUUUUUCCCGCGAUUGAGACAUCAGUCUCUACAGCCCCUUAAACACAAACUGGAGUACAAUACAUUAAUAUUUUAUGUACUUUUAAUUGAACAGGACUGUUACAGAGUUUGCUGGUUGCAAGCCUCCAUUAAUAUCCACAUUUCACGUGUGGAAAUCUGUGAAACUGAAUCCCUCCUGCAAAAUUACACCAAGCCAUCUUUCAUCCUGUUACUUAGCAAGGACCUUUGGUCCUUGUUUCUCGCCUCUUUUCCUCAGCUAUAGCACUUGUCAG
This is a long non-coding RNA of Aquila chrysaetos chrysaetos, 1117 nucleotides long. RefSeq lists it as uncharacterized. The transcript has 3 exons. Lineage: Eukaryota; Metazoa; Chordata; Aves; Accipitriformes; Accipitridae. The record is from RefSeq and is a predicted model, not a curated record.